UACAGAGGUGGCAAGCGUUGUUCGGAAUUACUGGGCGUAAAGGGCGCGUAGGCGGUUCGUUAAGUCCUGUGUGAAAUCCCCCGGCUCAACUGGGGAACUGCACAGGAAACUAGCGGGCUUGAGUUCGGGAGAGGGAUGCAGAAUUCCAGGUGUAGCGGUGAAAUGCGUAGAUAUCUGGAGGAAUACCGGUGGCGAAGGCGGCAUCCUGGACCGAGAUUGACACUGAUGAGCGAAAGCCAGGGGAGCAAACGGG
Molecule: ribosomal RNA, 253 nt
Filed under: uncultured bacterium
Lineage: Bacteria
Description: partial 16S ribosomal RNA
Rfam family: Bacterial small subunit ribosomal RNA
Source: RNAcentral